Long non-coding RNA from Oryzias latipes (Japanese medaka), 941 nucleotides. RefSeq lists it as uncharacterized. Lineage: Eukaryota; Metazoa; Chordata; Actinopteri; Beloniformes; Adrianichthyidae. The record is from RefSeq and is a predicted model, not a curated record.
UGUCAGAGGAGUAAAGCGGUCUGUUUUUAUAAUGGUCUAAAAAAAAGGAACAAACACAAAAGUUUAUAUUUUUAAUCUUUAAUCUAAGUUUUUAAUUUUUAAUCUAAGUUUUAGAUCUACUAUUUGCAGGAUUUUUAUGCUUUUAUUUAUUUUCUUACUUCCUUAUCUAGGAUGGGUGGGAGGCAGUGUGAGGGCAGCACUGACCCAAAAACACGGCACCGACCCCGAGGGCUGGCCUCUUCACGGGUGUUGCCAUAGCUACACACGGCAGGGCUGCCUGGGAUGAAAACAGGAUUGCUGUGAUGACGCUGAUGGUGUUGCUUGUCAUGGUUUUCCCCGCGGCUCUCGCAUCAGGUCCACCAUCCCGAGCUCACGACCUCUGUCACCUCCCCCGAGGAGGCUCUUGCCAGGUCCUGCAUUUGCCCCUGAACCCAUCUGAACGUCUCCUCACUGCUGCAUUGGAUUUCAGUGUUUUGAUCAGGUAAUGUUAAAGUCAGAGGGGACACCCCUGCUGUUUUCAGGGAGAGCAGAACAGGGGGAAGCUAUGUCAUCCACUGAGAGAAAUGCGUUUUGACUUAUCUCCCCUUAAGCCCCUCGUUGUUAUUCAGAAAGUCCGAACUCUGCUCUAUCGCGGCUGUGCAGCUGAAUGUAAAAUGGAUUUUCUGAGAGUCAACAAACUGAGCUUUGAAUGCUUAUAUUUGCUUUUUUUGAUUGAUUAUACACAUAAAAUGAUGUCAUACAUUUGUGAUUGAGUUGGAUUUUUGUUUAAGACAAAAUUGAACACUUCUGGAAAAAAACAAUUGGCCUUGAAACUCAGAUCACUUUGGAGCAUAAAUACAGUACAAAAAUUGUGCAUGAAAGUCCCAAUCUGAUCACCUUUAAGCUAUUUUAAAAACAUUGUCUUUUAAUUAUGAUUAUGCCCUUUGAGCCAAAAAAAAAAA